GGGUUGUGAGGUUAAGCGACUAAGCGUACACGGUGGAUGCCCUGGCAGUCAGAGGCGAUGAAGGGCGUGCUAAUCUGCGAUAAGCGCCGGUAAGGUGAUAUGAACCGUUAUAACCGGCGAUACCCGAAUGGGGAAACCCAGUGUGACUCGUCACACUAUCAUUAACUGAAUCCAUAGGUUAAUGAGGCGAACCGGGGGAACUGAAACAUCUAAGUACCCCGAGGAAAAGAAAUCAACCGAGAUUCCCCCAGUAGCGG
This 257-nucleotide ribosomal RNA is filed under the name Salmonella enterica subsp. enterica serovar Enteritidis. Its description in RNAcentral is "partial 23S ribosomal RNA". It matches the Rfam family "Bacterial large subunit ribosomal RNA", at positions 1 to 249 of the family's 2925-position model. Lineage: Bacteria; Pseudomonadati; Pseudomonadota; Gammaproteobacteria; Enterobacterales; Enterobacteriaceae. The record is from RNAcentral.